Molecule: ribosomal RNA, 258 nt
Filed under: uncultured archaeon
Lineage: Archaea
Description: partial 16S ribosomal RNA
Rfam family: Archaeal small subunit ribosomal RNA
Source: RNAcentral
GACAUUAGAUACCCGGGUAGUCCCAGCCGUAAACAAUGUGCGUUAGGUGUGUCGGUAACCACGUGUUACUGAUGCGCCGAAGAGAAAUCGUGAAACGCACCACCUGGGAAGUACGGUCGCAAGGCUGAAACUUAAAGGAAUUGGCGGGGGAGCACCACAACAGGUGGAGCCUGCGGUUUAAUUGGACUCAACGCCGGGAAGCUCACCGGAUAGGACAGCAGAAUGAUUGCCGGGCUGAAGACCCUGCAUGACUAGCUG